RNAcentral lists this microRNA (22 nucleotides) under Mus musculus (house mouse). RNAcentral describes it as "mmu-miR-3071-5p". Lineage: Eukaryota; Metazoa; Chordata; Mammalia; Rodentia; Muridae. The record is from miRBase by way of RNAcentral.
ACUCAUUUGAGACGAUGAUGGA